GCGAGUAGGUAAAAGGAAGCCAUGAGUUCUUAGAGCGGUGGUUAUGGGAACAUGGAGGAAAGCCUAGACUUCUUGGCCUCUUAAUUUAGGGGCAUAGAAUGUUUCGUGUUUUCCUGAUGCCUCCCAUGCCUAUUCUUCUUAGGUUCUCCUUCCUCUCCCUUAUGAUA
RNAcentral lists this microRNA precursor (167 nucleotides) under Triticum aestivum (bread wheat). Its description in RNAcentral is "MIR2118 microRNA precursor family". It matches the Rfam family "MIR2118 microRNA precursor family". The record is from Rfam by way of RNAcentral. Lineage: Eukaryota; Viridiplantae; Streptophyta; Magnoliopsida; Poales; Poaceae.